Molecule: ribosomal RNA, 922 nt
Filed under: uncultured bacterium
Lineage: Bacteria
Also listed under: 1 other name
Description: bacterial SSU rRNA
Rfam family: Bacterial small subunit ribosomal RNA
Source: RNAcentral
GCAAGUCGAGCGGAUCUUCAUUAGCUUGCUUUUGAAGAUCAGCGGCGGACGGGUGAGUAACACGUGGGCAACCUGCCUGUAAGACUGGGAUAACUUCGGGAAACCGGAGCUAAUACCGGAUAUCCUUUCCCUCACAUGAGGGAAAGCUGAAAGACGGUUUCGGCUGUCACUUACAGAUGGGCCCGCGGCGCAUUAGCUAGUUGGUGAGGUAACGGCUCACCAAGGCAACGAUGCGUAGCCGACCUGAGAGGGUGAUCGGCCACACUGGGACUGAGACACGGCCCAGACUCCUACGGGAGGCAGCAGUAGGGAAUCUUCCGCAAUGGACGAAAGUCUGACGGAGCAACGCCGCGUGAACGAUGAAGGCUUUCGGGUCGUAAAGUUCUGUUGUCAGGGAAGAACAAGUACCGGAGUAACUGCCGGUACCUUGACGGUACCUGACCAGAAAGCCACGGCUAACUACGUGCCAGCAGCCGCGGUAAUACGUAGGUGGCAAGCGUUGUCCGGAAUUAUUGGGCGUAAAGCGCGCGCAGGCGGUUCCUUAAGUCUGAUGUGAAAGCCCCCGGCUCAACCGGGGGAGGGUCAUUGGAAACUGGGGGAACUUGAGUGCAGAAGAGGAGAGCGGAAUUCCACGUGUAGCGGUGAAAUGCGUAGAGAUGUGGAGGAACACCAGUGGCGAAGGCGGCUCUCUGGUCUGUAACUGACGCUGAGGCGCGAAAGCGUGGGGAGCGAACAGGAUUAGAUACCCUGGUAGUCCACGCCGUAAACGAUGAGUGCUAAGUGUUAGAGGGUUUCCGCCCUUUAGUGCUGCAGCAAACGCAUUAAGCACUCCGCCUGGGGAGUACGGCCGCAAGGCUGAAAACUCAAAAGAAUUUGACGGGGGCCCGCAACAGCGGUGGAGCAUGUGGUUAAUUUCGAAGGC